Molecule: long non-coding RNA, 3113 nt
Organism: Notolabrus celidotus (New Zealand spotty)
Lineage: Eukaryota; Metazoa; Chordata; Actinopteri; Labriformes; Labridae
Exons: 5
Source: RefSeq, a predicted model, not a curated record
UCCGGAGGAGAAACGUAAAAUUGCAGGAUUCUGAUUUAACACGACGUGCAGCCAACAGUGUGUACAUGUUAGACCUCAGUGUCAAAUAUCCUCACCAACAUAGAGUGUGUAACAGGCUGUGAGUGUGUCUGUGAUGGUCUCACCUUCCCACACGCACCGUCUCCAAUAACUACUAUCUUCAGCUGCCUGUCCUGGCUGUCCUCCUCCGAGUCCGACAUGACGCUGUAGUGUGCUCCGAUAAAGCACCAGUGUGAGGGAAAUCAACGAAACACGAGAAAAGAAGCACAGGUAGCUGGAGUUCAGGCAAAUCACAGAUGGAUUAGACGACAGUGGAGUGGGCAAAGAGACGCCAUUUUGACUCUACUAACACUGUUGCUGUGCUCGGCUCGGCUCGGCAUGCUCCACUCUCCCACACACACACAGAGUUCAGUUUAAACGGAGGGAACAGAGACCGAGAAACGGGCUGAAGGACUCGACUUGACAACUCAGAGUUUAAAUAUGUCAAUUUUUGCCCCGAGGCCCCUUUACCAGCACGGGGACAAUAUCAAAACCGGAAACCAGAUCACCGCCGCAGUGGUUGCGUCCCGUGUGACGCGUUCUUGUUGCCACAGCAACAAGGGCCAGAGUGUGAAUAUCAAAAUGCUUAAUCCAGCGGCCUAAAAUGACCUAAACAAGGAGAGGGAUGUCAUGAGGGACGAGGAUGGAUAUGCACCUGGGCCACUUUGAAGCAGGGUGCAGCGACUGUCAGUGAAGUUAUACUAAGACAAAAUGCUCAUGGUGUGAUUGACAGCUUCCCAACAGACAGAAAGCUCAAGAGCAAAAUGAAACUUACAUGUUUUUAAAGGAUGGAUAGGCAGCCGGAGUCGAAGCCAUGAGAUCGGCGGCCAUCUGGCGGCGUUUCGUCUUGUACCUGCGGUUCUGGAACCAGAUCUUCACCUGAGUCUCUGUGAGCUUCAGGGAGGCCGCAAGGUCCGCGCGCUCCGGCCCAGACAGGUACCGCUGGUGGUUGAAUCGGCGCUCCAGUUCGAAGACCUGCGCGUGAGAGAAAGCGGCCCUGGAGCGCUUUUUCCGCUGCUUGGGCUGGUCCAUACUCUUCUCAUCUAGGGUGCUGGAGUCUGGCAGAGGGAGACACGCAGAUGCAACAUGCAAGAGGGCUCCCUCUGCUGGUGACAACGAGAAACCGCUGUCCUGAAAAAAGGGAAAGAUGAGACCUUCACUUCCUAAUAGCUCUGCCGGGAAAAGAUGGUAAAGUGGGUGUCAUUGCCUGCAGCUGCAACUUCUGCAAGAAGACAAACUGUGAUUUGGAUGUUUGCAGAUGAUGGACUGAUGUCUCUGACAGGUGAUAACAAAACAGACAGGACUGCAACUUGGGACUGUUUUUAUUAUUUAGUGUUAUAUCGUUGAUAAAAAUGACUUGUGAUUUGUUUUGUUGAAGCCUUACGGAAAGGGCUGUGGUUGUACUUUGUUAAAAUACCUUUUUUUUUCCUUUUUUUAAUCAUAUCUUUAUGCCUUACUUUUGUUUUCCUACUCCGUCUUUGACACUCUGUCUAAACACCUUUGACUGAUAUCAUUUGUCUUUAAACACGAGUUACAAGGUAGAAAAAUAUAAUGAUAAAUGGGGAAAGUUUCUGCGGUUUCACUCACCACAGGGGAACCUUCUGGGCACUAGCUCACUGUUUUUGUUGAAUGCCAGAUUAUAUAAUGUAUACAUUGUACAACAAGUUGUUUGUAUUUGUAAACAUAUAGAGACAUGUUCCUUGCGGUGUGGUUGUUGGGACUCUGAACUGAAGGCAGGAGGUGUGGCGAUGGUGCGGUGAAAGGAAGGAGUGUGGACACUGUUGGAUGGACGUUGAUUAAAUAUCUAUAUGUGAAGUGUGGGUAGAGGACAUCUGACAGUGGUACGGUGGACAUCUUGUUAACUCGCCCAAAAUGUCUUGUUAAUACUGGUAUUUUGUUAUUCUCACUAUUUGAGCAUUUAUUUUUUUUAUUGUCUAUACGGUAUUUUUCUUCUCUGUUUGUUGUUUUGUCUAUUUGUCUGUUUGUUUUUUAUUCUUUUUCAUGCCCGUCAAACUCACAUAUUAUCGUUUUUAAAAAAAUUUUAACUCUUCGGCUUGGCACUAUUUGGUCCUCUAUGUUGUGGAUAUGUGCUGUUGAAAAUUUAAAAACCAAUAAAACUUAAGUCAUACAAAAAAUACGAGUUACAAAUAGUAGGAUAGUACAUAUUACUUUUCUUUCUAAAGCAAAAGGGUUCCCUGAAACCGCUGAGCUUUAUUGUUUGGAUUAAAUAUCAAUCAAAGCAAAGAAAACAAUGUGUUUAAUGGGGACUACUUUCAUUGGCAGAUUAAUAUAUGUUUUGUGAACUGUGCAUAUUUACAGCAGCCAGACAGUUUUUCCAAACUCAGAAAAUUCAAGUGCAUGUCUUAUAUAGUUUGAAAACAAUGCUCUGCAAUAUAGAGCAGCAAAGUCAGUAGUACAGUUAAUGUACAAUUAAAGCAGCUAGUUUUAUUGGCAUGUUGACAACAAAGCUACUUCACAGUUUAAACAAAUGUGGAGCCUAUAGAAACACCAGAGCACCUAACAGUCAGAGGAAACAAAGGCAACACAAAGAUUUAUCUUUCAUCAUAUUAACUUCGCUCAACUACCAAAAGUUAUGUGAAAGAUCUAUCUGCAGAAAUUUAAAUAUUGGCUGCUGUGUAAGCUCUUGUGAUUGUGUUUUGGGGCGCUGCAUUGUCAAAAACCUUCUUAUAUUAAAGAUCUGCUGAAGGCCUCUAACAUCAGCAGGACUGUGAGGUCCUCUGAGGUCAGGGUUUUCUGGUUAUACCUAACAUCCGACUCAAAACUAAAUGAGACUGAGCUUUUAGAACAUGUACCUCCUAAACUUUGGAACUGCCUCCUGCUGGAGCUUACAAACAUGGACACUGUGGACAUUUUUAGAAAGCAGCUGAAGACUCGUGUUUGGACAUGUUAUUCUCCUAAUCCGUGUGUGCUUUUGUGUAAUAGUUGAUAUUCGAUGUCUACUGCAAUCACUCAGUUUCACUCUUAAGCACUGUGUGAUGUCUGUUCUUGAGAAAUAAUGUAUAAAUAAACUGCACUGACUUACCACAUACAAACUA